AGCUUGCUAUGAUAAAAAUUAGUGGCAGACGGGUGAGUAAUGCAUAGGAAUCUACCUAGUAGUAUGGGAUAGCCACUAGAAAUGGUGGGUAAUACUGUAUAAUCCCUGCGGGGGAAAGAUUUAUCGCUAUUAGAUGAGCCUAUGUUAGAUUAGCUAGUUGGUAGGGUAAAGG
This 172-nucleotide ribosomal RNA is filed under the name Anaplasma platys. RNAcentral describes it as "partial 16S ribosomal RNA". It matches the Rfam family "Bacterial small subunit ribosomal RNA", at positions 77 to 263 of the family's 1533-position model. Lineage: Bacteria; Pseudomonadati; Pseudomonadota; Alphaproteobacteria; Rickettsiales; Anaplasmataceae. The record is from RNAcentral.